UACGGGGGGGGCAAGCGUUGUUCGGAAUUACUGGGCGUAAAGCGCGUUCAGGCGGUUUGGCAAGUCGGGCAUGAAAUCUCUCGGCUCAACCGGGAGAGGUUGUCCGAUACUGCUGGACUUGAGGGCAGUAGAGGGUGGUGGAAUUCCGGGUGUAGUGGUGAAAUGCGUAGAUAUCCGGAGGAACACCAGUGGCGAAAGCGGCCACCUGGACUGCACCUGACGCUGACACGCGAAAGCUAGGGGAGCGAACGGG
RNAcentral lists this ribosomal RNA (253 nucleotides) under uncultured bacterium. RNAcentral's name for it is "partial 16S ribosomal RNA". It matches the Rfam family "Bacterial small subunit ribosomal RNA", at positions 524 to 776 of the family's 1533-position model. The record is from RNAcentral.